This 365-nucleotide ribosomal RNA is filed under the name uncultured gamma proteobacterium DCM-ATT-23. Its description in RNAcentral is "bacterial SSU rRNA". It matches the Rfam family "Bacterial small subunit ribosomal RNA", at positions 8 to 377 of the family's 1533-position model. Lineage: Bacteria; Pseudomonadati; Pseudomonadota; Gammaproteobacteria. The record is from RNAcentral.
AGAGUUUGAUCAUGGCUCAGAUUGAACGCUGGCGGCAGGCCUAACACAUGCAAGUCGAACGGUAACAUGACUAGCUUGCUAAACGAUGACGAGUGGCGGACGGGUGAGUAAUGCUUGGGAACUUGCCUUUGCGAGGGGGAUAACAGUUGGAAACGACUGCUAAUACCGCAUAAUGUCUUCGGACCAAACGGGGCUUCGGCUCCGGCGCAAAGAGAGGCCCAAGUGAGUUUAGCUAGUUGGUAAGGUAAAGGCUUACCAAGGCAACGAUCUCUAGCUGUUCUGAGAGGAAGAUCAGCCACACUGGAACUGAGACACGGUCCAGACUCCUACGGGAGGCAGCAGUGGGGAAUAUUGCACAAUGGGGG